UACGGAGGAUGCAAGCGUUAUCCGGAAUGAUUGGGCGUAAAGCGUCCGCAGGUGGCAAUGUAAGUCUGCUGUCAAAGCGUCUGGCUCAACCAGAUAAAGGCAGUGGAAACUACAUAGCUAGAGUAAGGUAGGGGUAGAGGGAAUUCCUGGUGUAGCGGUGAAAUGCGUAGAGAUACAGGAAGAACACCGGUGGCGAAAGCGCUCUGCUGGACCUAAAACUGACACUGAGGGACGAAAAGCUAGGGGAGCGAAAUGGG
RNAcentral lists this ribosomal RNA (257 nucleotides) under uncultured bacterium. Its description in RNAcentral is "partial 16S ribosomal RNA". It matches the Rfam family "Bacterial small subunit ribosomal RNA", at positions 524 to 777 of the family's 1533-position model. The record is from RNAcentral.